This 492-nucleotide ribosomal RNA is filed under the name uncultured bacterium. RNAcentral describes it as "partial 16S ribosomal RNA". It matches the Rfam family "Bacterial small subunit ribosomal RNA", at positions 29 to 507 of the family's 1533-position model. The record is from RNAcentral.
AGUGAACGCUGGCGGUAGGCCUAACACAUGCGAGUCGAACGGCAGCACAGUAAGAGCUUGCUCUUACGGGUGGCGAGUGGCGGACGGGUGAGGAAUACAUCGGAAUCUACUUUUUCGUGGGGGAUAACGUAGGGAAACUUACGCUAAUACCGCAUACGACCUACGGGUGAAAGCAGGGGAUCUUCGGACCUUGCGCGAUUGAAUGAGCCGAUGUCGGAUUAGCUAGUUGGCGGGGUAAGGGCCCACCAAGGCGACGAUCCGUAGCUGGUCUGAGAGGAUGAUCAGCCACACUGGAACUGAGACACGGUCCAGACUCCUACGGGAGGCAGCAGUGGGGAAUAUUGGACAAUGGGCGCAAGCCUGAUCCAGCCAUACCGCGUGGGUGAAGAAGGCCUUCGGGUUGUAAAGCCCUUUUGUUGGGAAAGAAAAGCAGCAGGUUAAUACCCCGCUGUUCUGACGGUACCCAAAGAAUAAGCACCGGCUAACUUCGUG